AUUGAACGCUGGCGGCAGGCCUAACACAUGCAAGUCGAGCGGAUGAAGGGAGCUUGCUCCUGGAUUCAGCGGCGGACGGGUGAGUAAUGCCUAGGAAUCUGCCUGGUAGUGGGGGAUAACGUCCGGAAACGGGCGCUAAUACCGCAUACGUCCUGAGGGAGAAAGUGGGGGAUCUUCGGACCUCACGCUAUCAGAUGAGCCUAGGUCGGAUUAGCUAGUUGGUGGGGUAAAGGCCUACCAAGGCGACGAUCCGUAACUGGUCUGAGAGGAUGAUCAGUCACACUGGAACUGAGACACGGUCCAGACUACUACGGGAGGCAGCAGUAGGGAAUAUUACGCAAUGGGCGAAAGCCUGAAGGAGCAAAGCAGCGGGAGUGAUGAAGGUCUUCGGAUCGUAAAACUCUGUUAGUAGGGAAGAACAAAUGUGUAAGUAACUAUGCACGUCUUGACGGUACCGAAUCAGAAAGCCACGGCUAACUACGUG
Molecule: ribosomal RNA, 484 nt
Filed under: uncultured bacterium
Lineage: Bacteria
Description: partial 16S ribosomal RNA
Rfam family: Bacterial small subunit ribosomal RNA
Source: RNAcentral